This 253-nucleotide ribosomal RNA is filed under the name uncultured bacterium. Its description in RNAcentral is "partial 16S ribosomal RNA". It matches the Rfam family "Bacterial small subunit ribosomal RNA", at positions 524 to 776 of the family's 1533-position model. The record is from RNAcentral.
UACAGAGGUCCCAAGCGUUGUUCGGAUUUACUGGGCGUAAAGGGCGCGUAGGCGGCGCGGGCAGUCAACGGUGAAAGCUUGGGGCUCAACCCCGAGUCGGCCGUCGAUACUCCCGGGCUGGAGCACUGUAGAGGCAGGUGGAAUUCCGGGUGUAGCGGUGGAAUGCGUAGAGAUCCGGAAGAACACCGGUGGCGAAGGCGGCCUGCUGGGCAGUAGCUGACGCUGAGGCGCGACAGCGUGGGGAGCAAACAGG